Balaenoptera acutorostrata (minke whale) is the source of this 880-nucleotide long non-coding RNA. RefSeq lists it as uncharacterized. The transcript is spliced from 4 exons. The record is from RefSeq and is a predicted model, not a curated record. Lineage: Eukaryota; Metazoa; Chordata; Mammalia; Artiodactyla; Balaenopteridae.
ACGCCUGGACUGCAUCAGCAGGACCUGCCCGCUGCCCCAGGGGGCAGUGCUCGGCCCGCGACGCGUCCUGAGAGGCUGCGGAGUUGUCAUGCUCCUCAGGUCUUCAGAUGAUGAGCCCAAACCAAGGGCAAGUUUUCACACACCCCGCGACGCUCGAGGCUUCAGACUAGACCCGGGCUCUGAAUUAAACGUGUUUCAAGCCCGCUAGGACUUUUCAAAGAAAACUGGACCUCAACUUAUUAAAAAAAAAUAGAAAGCCCACACCCUUCAGGGAGAGGAUUCCUGGGGCUUUGGAAUUCAACACCUUUGUCCUGACUUCACCCCUACCAGUUGUGCAACCAGAGCCUUGGCCUCUGAGGAAGACAUUUUUGAUGGUGCCGUUUCAAGACAGCACGGGCUGCCGCAUUAGGAGGUGGAUAUUUAGCCGGAGAGGCAUUCAAGCGGACACAAAACAGCAAAGGGUGCAGGCCUAGGAUGGUUCAGUCAUUCAUUUAUGGAAACAGAGGAGGUGGAACUAGAUUGUGUCUUAAGAGUCCAACCAGCUCUUCUCUUCUAUGUGGAAACAACCAGCCACAGACCUCGUUCUUUCUUCUGUUCUUCCCCUUCACUGAAACAACACACACUUGGAAGUUACAUGAUGAACUGACACACAGCACUUCAACUUGUCUGUAUUGAUAUAGAAUCAUUGACUUAAGCUGGAAUGUUGUAAGAUGAACAAUCUUAACAUUUGCUCAAAAUCGUUAUUUUAAGAAGUAUCCAAAAUCUACUAAAGGCACAGAAUAAAUACACUAUCAUCCAGAUACAGUAUUCUGGUGUUCUCUUCUCAAUGUACAAAUAUGAACGUGAGUGGAUGGUGGGCCACAAGGUAGAGACAACCUGA